Molecule: ribosomal RNA, 681 nt
Filed under: uncultured bacterium
Lineage: Bacteria
Description: bacterial SSU rRNA
Rfam family: Bacterial small subunit ribosomal RNA
Source: RNAcentral
AGUGGCGAACGGGUGAGUAACACGUGGGUACCCUACCUCUUAGCAGGGGAUAACAUUUGGAAACAAGUGCUAAUACCGUAUAACACUAACAACCGCAUGGUUGUUAGUUGAAAGAUGGUUCUGCUAUCACUAAGAGAUGGACCCGCGGUGCAUUAGCUAGUUGGUAAGGUAAUGGCUUACCAAGGCGAUGAUGCGUAGCCGAGUUGAGAGACUGAUCGGCCACAAUGGGACUGAGACACGGCCCAUACUCCUACGGGAGGCAGCAGUAGGGAAUCUUCCACAAUGGGCGCAAGCCUGAUGGAGCAACGCCGCGUGUGUGAUGAAGGGUUUCGGCUCGUAAGACACUGUUAUAAGAGAAGAACGACAUUGAGAGUAACUGUUCAGUGUGUGACGGUAUCUUAUCAGAAAGGAACGGCUAAAUACGUGCCAGCAGCCGCGGUAACACGUAUGUUCCAAGCGUUAUCCGGAUUUAUUGGGCGUAAAGCGAGCGCAGACGGUUAUUUAAGUCUGAAGUGAAAGCCCUCAGCUCAACUGAGGAAGGGCUUUGGAAACUGGAUAACUUGAGUGCAGUAGAGGAAAGUGGAACUCCAUGUGUAGCGGUGAAAUGCGUAGAUAUAUGGAAGAACACCGGUGGCGAAAGCGGCUUUCUGGACUGUAACUGACGUUGAGGCUCGAAAGUGU